Long non-coding RNA from Cynoglossus semilaevis (tongue sole), 3332 nucleotides. RefSeq lists it as uncharacterized. The transcript is spliced from 7 exons. Lineage: Eukaryota; Metazoa; Chordata; Actinopteri; Pleuronectiformes; Cynoglossidae. The record is from RefSeq and is a predicted model, not a curated record.
GUCAGAGAACACACAGUCUUGAAUCUAGCUAACUGCAUUUAGCGGCUUGGACUCUGGAAAAUUAAGUUUUCUCUGCGACUACUGCUCCAGACCACUGUCGAUGCUGACAUUCUCAGCCUGAAGCGAUAUGCUAUGAAUACGACAGGACACACUGGACUUUCAGCGGUAGAAGGAAUGGCGAUAGAAAACGACUUGUUAGAACUUCAACGCACGGACAGUUUGUACAACAGAGAAAAUGAGGCCCUAAGGAAAAAAGGGAAGUUGUAAUUUGUGUACAACUAAUCGGAAAUUUGGCAUUGAACUCCACCAACUACCAGAACAUGACAACCAACCAACAUAUCAGUGCAACACCAAUGUUCAUGGAGGCAAGAGGAAGGAAGGCAGUGAGGAAAAAUUCAUAAAGGGGAGGAAGCAGAGGGGGUUGGCAGUCUCCCUGUGCUUCUUUUCAUCUGUCGGAGCUCAUAUUUAUGAGAGGGAGAAAAGAAAACAUCAACAUCAAAAGGAAAGGUAAAGGAAGUCGGGUUCACAAUCAUCAAUGCAUCAGUGUAGUGAAUGCUCUCAUGGAUUUAAGAAAAUGCAACAAAAAUACUUCAUUAAUUCCACACUCCAGGUCAGGUAAAUGUCAGAGCGAGGGCCGUCAAAGACCUCCCUGAAAGCAGAAAUAAAAUUAGAGCUACGAAACAAAGACUGAUUUUCCUUGUCAUUAUAAUGAACUGGAAUCUAAUCAACAUCAUGGAAUUCACAGUGAGAGAGAAAGCGAAAAAAAAAAGAACGCUAAUGCCGGGAACAGAAUCUGAUCAGUAGUUCUGAAGCUGUUCUAGUACAAACCUGUUACUUUAUUUUAAAAUAAGCUCAAACGGGCUGAACUGCAGCACGGGUUAAGGUAAAAAAAAACAGGAAGUUAUGACCAGUGUUGGUAAAUACAGGACAUCUAGCUCUGUCGCUUUGUCCUCUGCAGGAGGCGCUAUAAUCAUUGUUUAAAUGUCUUUGUAAAAUCCCAAUGUUUUAUUUGCAUCUUUAAUUCUGUAAUCUUCUUAACAUUUUUUUCCCCACAAACUCAAGGAUGCACCAGUUUAAUGAUACGUGGUCUGUUGUGACAACAGUGAGACCAAAAGGAAGUCGAUGGCUCUUUCAGUGAGACGUCUCAUCUUUCGCUCCAUCGGCUGUUUUAAUCACAAACAAGCAGCAUCCAGUCACGUCUCGUUACCAACCCCAGUGAUGAAUGGAGAUUGCCCUGGCAACACGGGCUGUUUACGCCAAAAGCGACUGGGACUCCCUGCUGUGCUGGGUCACUGCAGACUGACUUAUCUGUUACAGACAGGAGAACGUGUGUAUUCUCAAAGCGUCACAGGUCUUGACAUGAGUGAGUCUGAUCUGUGAUGUCAAAGCUGCAGCUUCUUCAUUAGCUGCCAGGGCAGCAGGGCUCUAUGUUUCAUCAAGCAGCUACUGAUGCCUGGCAAUAGGAGGAGAUGCCAGAAGAGACAGAGAUUUGAAACAGGAGGAAGAGAAACAGGUCAGACGAUGGUGACGCAGACACACUGACAGUUCAUGUGAUGAAUGGAUGUAAUACAUGAUCGCAAUCAAUAUAUGAAUGUAACAGGUGUGGAACUUGUAUAUUUACAUUUUAACUCCUAGAGUUCAAUGCUUUUCAGGGUCACAGGAGUUACUGGUGGAGAACAUGGUACAUCCUGGACAGCCCACUGGUCAUCACAGUACCUCAUGGGAAGAUACAGGAACAACCAUUCACACUGACAUUCACACCUUUGGUCAAUUUAGUGAAUGAUUAACCCUAGUCCUCCUUGUUCAAGGAGGUGAGGAGAUGAAGAAGUGAAGCCUCACAGCUGUGGCAGCAGAAUGUAUGCACACUAAGGCAAAAAAUAUCCGUGGAGAAUUUCUGCUGUGAGAGCCGUGAUGAUGAAUAUAAAUAAGUAACUGCCUCUCCAGCUGUGAUAAGACAGCAGAUUCAGAUGAUGCCCCAGUCUAUGGCUGAGGGAGCUGCGGAAAAUCCCCUCAAACCAGCUCCUGCUGUGAUCACUAUCUGAGCUCCCAUCUUUCGGAAUUUUUUUGGCCCCAUUUUCAGUGACAUGCCUGCAGCUGUGCUGCAAAAAUACAUCAGGGACACAGGAGCAGCUCAUGGUGCAUCCGGUGGUUGAUUCAUCCGUAGGUGCAGAGGCAGAAUACUGGGUGACGCAGGAGGGGUUGACACUGAACCGCGUGUUUCCUGUAGCGUCAAAACAAGCUGAAAAUAAUGCCUUUCAGGUCUGAAACUGAGAAAGAAAGACGUCUCCGUCACUUGUUUACUAAAACGCCUCUAAAGGAAUGUUUUGCUCGUAGGAGAAUUGCUUACUUACACAGCCGAGCUCCCACUGAAAAACCACAGUGGGUGGUUAAUGUACUGUACAGGCACAACACAGCAGCAUAUUUUUAUUGUUCACCAGUGAGACAGAAAUGUUCAGUAAUUACAUGGCAGUGACCUCUGCACACAUCUGUUGGCACAAUAGCUGUGGUAUGACAUGAAGUGUUUAAGAAGCAAAGCACACUCUGCAUACACACACACUGUUUACUACAUGAGCUGGGCUUUGGGCAAAAUGACAUUGAAAUACCUGAUCAUUUCCUAUGUAUUUUGCCAUGUUGGCUGUGUUUUUCUGAAAGGGUUUUUGCACUUUAUAUGCUGUAAUAGUUGUCCUGGUUAUUAAGUUAUUUGUAAGUAUAACAGAACUUCGAGUAUUGUUGAAUUUAGUACUUCAAGAUUGACCACAAAAUACUGCAGAACUACCGUUAUGUUAGCGAAGCGUAGCUGAAUAAAAGCUAGAUUAAACCUGGAACUAAACAGAAAUAAAUUGAAGACAGAAUUGUUUAACAGAAAUGUAACAUUUCUCCUCAUUAUCAUAAAUAACAAUUUUGCAAAAGAAUAAUCAAAUCAAAUAUUUAACAAACAUUAUUGUAGAUAUAGUUAUGUUUGUCACUAAGCGUAUACUUGGCUACAGGUCAGUCUAGCCAUAGUUAAGCUCGUAAAAGAAAAAUCAAUUUUUUUUUAACUGAUGUUAAGAAUGAAGCAAAAUUAUUUUACACACUCUUCAUUCAUAUUUUAAUAUUUAUUAAAAUGUAAUAUUUCACAAUUUCCUGGUUUACUUUGUUCUCUCAACCAAGGCUCUUCACUUCCUUUGUUUACCUGCCCUUUUUUGUCACCUGAUCCUCUUUCAUUACUUUCUGCUGUGUGUCAUUUACUCAGCCACUUUUCACAAAACAUUAUUUGUAAUCGUUUGUUGUUACUGUUUCUGACAUUUCUAGUUUUCUCUUUUUUCCUCUGUAUCUUCCGCUGUAUCUAUGUC